This 1621-nucleotide long non-coding RNA is filed under the name Anthonomus grandis grandis. Its description in RNAcentral is "uncharacterized LOC126736654". Lineage: Eukaryota; Metazoa; Arthropoda; Insecta; Coleoptera; Curculionidae. The record is from RNAcentral.
GUGAUGUUUUUCUGGUUCAAUUAGACAAACCAUGAUAGAAAAACACUAUUUCCAGAAAAUCCAAACACUAUUAAAAUAUUGAAACGAUGAUAUAGGAAAGUAAGGGAAAAAGCUGGGUUCUCAUUUAUAUAUCCUUAUCUCAGUUUAAUAAUUAGAAAAAUAUUGGAACAAAGUGAUGUUUUCCUGGUUUAAUUAAACAAACCAUGAUGGAAAAACACUAUUUCCAGAAGAUCCAAACACUAUUAAAAAAUUGAAACGAUGAUAUAGGAAAGUAAGUGAAAAAGCUGGGUUCUCAUUUAUAUAUCCUUAUCUCAGUUUAAUAAUUAGAAAAAUAUUGGAACAAAGUGAUGUUUUCCUGGUUUAAUUAAACAAACCAUGAUGGAAAAACACUAUUUCCAGAAGAUCCAAACACUAUUAAAAAAUUGAAACGAUGAUAUAGGAAAGUAAGUGAAAAAGCUGGGUUCUCAUUUAUAUAUCCUUAUCUCAGUUUAAUAAUUAGAAAAAUAUUGGAACAAAGUGAUGUUUUCCUGGUUUAAUUAAACAAACCAUGAUGGAAAAACACUAUUUCCAGAAGAUCCAAACACUAUUAAAAAAUUGAAACGAUGAUAUAGGAAAGUAAGUGAAAAAGCUGGGUUCUCAUUUAUAUAUCCUUAUCUCAGUUUAAUAAUUAGAAAAAUAUUGGAACAAAGUGAUGUUUUCCUGGUUUAAUUAAACAAACCAUGAUGGAAAAACACUAUUUCCAGAAGAUCCAAACACUAUUAAAAAAUUGAAACGAUGAUAUAGGAAAGUAAGUGAAAAAGCUGGGUUCUCAUUUAUAUAUCCUUAUCUCAGUUUAAUAAUUAGAAAAAUAUUGGAACAAAGUGUUGUUUUUCUGGUUCAAUUAGACAAACCAUGGUAGAAAAACACUAUUCCCAGAAGAUCCAAACACUAUUAAAAAAUUGAAACGAUGAUAUAGGAAAGUAGGUGAAAAAGCUGGGUUCUCAUUUAUAUAUCCUUAUCUCAGUUUAAUAAUUAGAAAAACAUUGGAACAAAAUGUUGUUUUUCUGGUUCAAUUAGACAAACCAUGGUAGAAAAACACUAUUUCCAGAAGAUCCAAACACUAUUAAAAAAUUGAAACGAUGAUAUAGGAAAGUAAGUGAAAAAGCUGGGUUCUCAUUUAUAUAUCCUUAUCUCAGUUUAAUAAUUAGAAAAAUAUUGGAACAAAGUGAUGUUUUCCUGGUUUAAUUAAACAAACCAUGAUGGAAAAACACUAUUUCCAGAAGAUCCAAACACUAUUAAAAAAUUGAAACGAUGAUAUAGGAAAGUAAGUGAAAAAGCUGGGUUCUCAUUUAUAUAUCCUUAUCUCAGUUUAAUAAUUAGAAAAAUAUUGGAACAAAGUGAUGUUUUCCUGGUUUAAUUAAACAAACCAUGAUGGAAAAACACUAUUUCCAGAAGAUCCAAACACUAUUAAAAAAUUGAAACGAUGAUAUAGGAAAGUAAGUGAAAAAGCUGGGUUCUCAUUUAUAUAUCCUUAUCUCAGUUUAAUAAUUUGAAAAAUAUUGGAACAAAGUGAUGUUUUUCUGGUUCAAUUAGACAAACCAUGGUAGAAAAACACUAUUUCCAGAAGAUCCAAACACUAUUA